AGGAAAAAAUGCUGUUCAUCAGUCUGUAGCACAGGAGUUAUUUUGUAAAAUAACUCAAGGUUUUUUCAGUUCAGGCCAGUUUUUGCAAGUGUGUGUCUCUUUGCGAGCCGUGUGUAGGCCUAAUUCCUUCAAUCCAACAAUUUUCUCUUUCAGGAGAGAAUAAAAGCAACCGUUAAACUUAAUUUCCCGUCUGCCUUCUCUGCCACUAACUAAGUUUAAUUUCCUACGGUUCCCCGAAUGCCUUCCAUCAACCUCCAGAGAACAGUUAUGGAAACAUAAAUUUUCCUUUCGCGUCAUCUUAUUAAUGAAGACUGGGGUGUGUCUGAUUGCAGGCAUGUUGCUGCGUUUCAUUCUGAUCAAUUAAAUCGGUUAAGUCGGUGUACAAAUUAGCCUACGUGCUUCUCCUCGGAGGAUAUUUCUCCCUGUAUGAUUGUUGAACAUUGGUGUUGGACGACUUCUCUUUAAAGCAGAGGUUUUCAAACUGUGGGGAGGUGCGGGAGAGUUGAAGGGGAGGCAUGGAGGGACAGAGGUGAGGCAAAGAUAAAGAGACAGGUGCAUGUCUAAAAACAACAGGAAGUUAAUUAUUGUAGUUUGGCUGCUGAUUUGGCUGCUUAUCAACGCGGUCGGCAGUUGGAGCUGCAGCAGUGGCUGCGACACACAGAUCACGGAUGUGAUUAAGAUCCUUUAAAACCCUUAGCCCUUAACGCACAGACAUGAAACACAUAUUGAUAUCAUUCAGUGUGACUUCCAAGGAUAUAUCGAAUAAACGUCCACAAAUCCACUUAGAUGUCAUAGAAAAAAGAUGCUCCUUAUCACUCCAGAAACUGAAAUAGAGUAACAAACUUUUCUUAUGCAGGACUGACAAAUAAAAUGAACCCCCCCAAACAAACUGAGCUCAAGGCCCCCCUCUGAUAACUGCUUGUUUAAAUUGGGUUGAUUUCCCCCUUUUAGAAGUCAAAUAAGGGAGUGCUGCAUUUGAUAAGGAGUCACUCAGUUAACACGAGAGGUCAAACAGCCAAGGAGCUGUGGUCUGCCUGUCUUUGAGAUUAAUUAUUGAAUCAAUAAACCCUCACGUUUAACUCUGAUAACCUCUCUCUGUCUCUUUCAGGCUCCAAGGUGAAGCGACUGGUAUUUCCAGUUGGACUCAUGGCUCUGAGCGCCUCCAUGUUUUACCCUCAGCAGGCUGCGUCCUUACUCAAGACUCAUCGUGUGUGUGGAGGUCACGUCCUGUUGUUGCGGCUGCAGCAGUUCCUCAUUCGCACCCGCAGAAAGUUUACUGUCGAAUGUGACACUUGAGGUACUUGUACUUUACGCGAGUAUUUCCAUUUUAUGCUACUUUAUACUUCCACUCCACUACAUUUUAUGGAUAACGUUAGUUACUUUGCAGAUUCAGAUUAUUAAUUCAAAAUAUAAUCAAGAAAUAAACGAGGAUGUGUUAUUGAUAGAGUACUUUUUGUACCUUAAGUAUAGUUUGAUGCUAAUAUAUUUGUACUUUUACUCAAGUAAAAGAUCUGAGUACUUGUUCCACCACUUCCCUAAAAACAGAUGUGAAUGCUGCUGAAGUUACUUGAAGAGUGUCUGUGUCUCUGUACUGAAUAUUCUGGUUUAAUCUCAUUUCCUCUCUUCUCCUUUUCUCUGUCUGCUUUUGAUUUAUCUUCGGACCACUGAUGUAAUGUUUCUGCAGACAGAACGGAGGACAUGAUGUAACUCUCCUCUGCUGUUUGACAGUUGUUUACCCUCCUCCAUUAAAAAAAAACUUGAUUUGAA
Molecule: long non-coding RNA, 1767 nt
Organism: Siniperca chuatsi (mandarin fish)
Lineage: Eukaryota; Metazoa; Chordata; Actinopteri; Centrarchiformes; Sinipercidae
Exons: 2
Source: RefSeq, a predicted model, not a curated record